AGCUCUGGGGUGUUACACGCAAGUUUGCAAAUCUUGAGAAGCAGAGUAAAUUCUGCCGGGGCUU
This 64-nucleotide transfer RNA is filed under the name Bokermannohyla alvarengai (Santa Barbara treefrog). RNAcentral describes it as "tRNA-Cys". The record is from RNAcentral. Lineage: Eukaryota; Metazoa; Chordata; Amphibia; Anura; Hylidae.